This 478-nucleotide ribosomal RNA is filed under the name uncultured bacterium. Its description in RNAcentral is "partial 16S ribosomal RNA". It matches the Rfam family "Bacterial small subunit ribosomal RNA", at positions 28 to 507 of the family's 1533-position model. The record is from RNAcentral.
GAUGAACGCUGGCGGCGUGCCUAACACAUGCAAGUCGAACGGAGUCCAGCCUUUAAGACCUUCGGGUCAAAGAGGGGAAGACUGAGUGGCGGACGGGUGAGUAACACGUGGGCAACCUGGCUCAUAGAGGGGGAUAACAGAGAGAAAUUUCUGCUAAUACCGCAUAAGCACACACUGCCGCAUGGCAGAGGGUGAAAAGAGAAUCGCUAUGAGAUGGACCCGCGUCUGAUUAGCCAGUUGGCAGGGUAAGAGCCUACCAAAGCGACGAUCAGUAGCCGAUCUGAGAGGAUGAACGGCCACAUUGGGACUGAGACACGGCCCAAACUCCUACGGGAGGCAGCAGUGGGGGAUAUUGCACAAUGGGGGGAACCCUGAUGCAGCGACGCCGCGUGAGUGAAGAAGUAUUUCGGUAUGUAAAGCUCUAUCAGCAGGGAAGAUAAUGACAGUACCUGAAUAAGAAGCCCCGGCCAACUACGUG